CACAGGUGCUGCAUGGCUGUCGUCAGCUCGUGUCGUGAGAUGUUCGGUUAAGUCCGCUAACGAGCGCAACCCUUGCUGUGUGUUACAUGUGUCACACGGGGACUGCCGGGUCUUUAAACCGGGAGGAAGGUGGGGAUGACGUCAAGUCAGCAUGGCCUUUAUGUCCUGGGCUACACACACGCUACAAUGGCCGGUACAAUAGGUUGCGAAGCCGCGAGGCGGAGCCAAUCCUCAAAGCCGGCCUCAGUUCAGAUUGCAGGCUGCAACCCGCCUGCAUGAAGAUGGAGUUGCUAGUAACCGCAGGUCAGCCAUACUGCGUUGAAUACGUUCCCGGGGCUU
This 339-nucleotide ribosomal RNA is filed under the name uncultured Levilinea sp. RNAcentral describes it as "bacterial SSU rRNA". It matches the Rfam family "Bacterial small subunit ribosomal RNA", at positions 1033 to 1382 of the family's 1533-position model. Lineage: Bacteria; Bacillati; Chloroflexota; Anaerolineae; Anaerolineales; Anaerolineaceae. The record is from RNAcentral.